Molecule: ribosomal RNA, 480 nt
Filed under: uncultured bacterium
Lineage: Bacteria
Description: bacterial SSU rRNA
Rfam family: Bacterial small subunit ribosomal RNA
Source: RNAcentral
GAUGAACGCUAGCGGCAGGCCUAACACAUGCAAGUCGAGGGGUAUUAGGAGCUUGCUCCUAAGAGACCGGCGCACGGGUGCGUAACGCGUAUGCGAUCUACCUUGUACAGGGGAAUAGCCCAGAGAAAUUUGGAUUAAUGCCCCAUAGCAUAAUUGAAUCGCAUGGUUUAAUUAUUAAAGUUCCAACGGUACAAGAUGAGCAUGCGUCCCAUUAGUUAGUUGGUAAGGUAACGGCUUACCAAGACAAUGAUGGGUAGGGGUCCUGAGAGGGAGAUCCCCCACACUGGUACUGAGACACGGACCAGACUCCUACGGGAGGCAGCAGUGAGGAAUAUUGGUCAAUGGGCGCAAGCCUGAACCAGCCAUGCCGCGUGCAGGAAGACGGUCCUAUGGAUUGUAAACUGCUUUUANACAGGAAGAAACCCUACCACGUGUGGUAGAUUGACGGUACUGUAGGAAUAAGGAUCGGCUAACUCCGUG